GUACGGGUGAGUAACACGUGGAUUAUCUACCCUCUAGUGGGGAAUACGUUGGGAAACCGACGACAAUACCGCAUAAGCUCGAGAGAGGAAAGCAGCAAUGCGCUGGAGGAGGAGUCCGCGGUCGAUUAGUUAGUUGGCAGGGUAAAAGCCUACCAAGACUGUGAUCGAUAGCCGGCCUGAGAGGGCACACGGCCACACUAGGCACUGAAACACGGGCCAGACUCCUACGGGAGGCAGCAGUGGGGAAUCUUGCACAAUGGAGGAAACUCUGAUGCAGCGACGCCGCGUGAGCGGUGAAGCCCUUCGGGGUGUAAAGCUCUUUCGGCAGGGAAGAUAAUGACGGUACCUGCAGAAGCAGCUGCGGCUAACUACGUGCCAGCAGCCGCGGUAAUACGUAGGCAGCAAGCGUUGUUCGGAGUUACUGGGCGUAAAGGGUGCGUAGGCGGUUUUUAAGUUUGGUGUGAAAUCUCCCGGGCUCAAUGGGAGGGUGCGCCGAAAUACUUGAGAGGCUAGAGUGUGGGAGAGGGAAAGUGGAAUUCC
Molecule: ribosomal RNA, 540 nt
Filed under: uncultured bacterium
Lineage: Bacteria
Description: bacterial SSU rRNA
Rfam family: Bacterial small subunit ribosomal RNA
Source: RNAcentral